AUUGAACGCUGGCGGCAGGCCUAACACAUGCAAGUCGAACGGUAACAGGAAGAAGCUUGCUUCUUUGCUGACGAGUGGCGGACGGGUGAGUAAUGUCUGGGAAACUGCCUGAUGGAGGGGGAUAACUACUGGAAACGGUAGCUAAUACCGCAUAACGUCGCAAGGCCAAAGAGGGGGACCUUCGGGCCUCUUGCCAUCGGAUGUGCCCAGAUGGGAUUAGCUAGUAGGUGGGGUAACGGCUCACCUAGGCGACGAUCCCUAGCUGGUCUGAGAGGAUGACCAGCCACACUGGAACUGAGACACGGUCCAGACUCCUACGGGAGGCAGCAGUGGGGAAUAUUGCACAAUGGGCGCAAGCCUGAUGCAGCCAUGCCGCGUGUAUGUAGAAGGCCUUCGGGUUGUAAAGUACUUUCAGCGGGGAGGAAGGGAGUAAAGUUAAUACCUUUGCUCAUUGACGUUACCCGCAGAAGAAGCACCGGCUAACUCCGUG
RNAcentral lists this ribosomal RNA (490 nucleotides) under uncultured bacterium. Its description in RNAcentral is "partial 16S ribosomal RNA". It matches the Rfam family "Bacterial small subunit ribosomal RNA", at positions 30 to 507 of the family's 1533-position model. The record is from RNAcentral.